This 490-nucleotide ribosomal RNA is filed under the name uncultured bacterium. RNAcentral describes it as "partial 16S ribosomal RNA". It matches the Rfam family "Bacterial small subunit ribosomal RNA", at positions 30 to 507 of the family's 1533-position model. The record is from RNAcentral.
AUUGAACGCUGGCGGCAGGCCUAACACAUGCAAGUCGAACGGUAACAGGAAGCAGCUUGCUGCUUUGCUGACGAGUGGCGGACGGGUGAGUAAUGUCUGGGAAACUGCCCGAUGGAGGGGGAUAACUACUGGAAACGGUAGCUAAUACCGCAUAACGUCGCAAGACCAAAGAGGGGGACCUUAGGGCCUCUUGCCAUCGGAUGUGCCCAGAUGGGAUUAGCUAGUAGGUGGGGUAACGGCUCACCUAGGCGACGAUCCCUAGCUGGUCUGAGAGGAUGACCAGCCACACUGGAACUGAGACACGGUCCAGACUCCUACGUGAGGCAGCAGUGGGGAAUAUUGCACAAUGGGCGCAAGCCUGAUGCAGCCAUGCCGCGUGUAUGAAGAAGGCCUUCGGGUUGUAAAGUACUUUCAGCGGGGAGGAAGGGAGUAAAGUUAAUACCUUUGCUCAUUGACGUUACCCGCAGAAGAAGCACCGGCUAACUCCGUG